Molecule: transfer RNA, 76 nt
Filed under: Bacteroidetes bacterium QS_8_68_28
Lineage: Bacteria; Pseudomonadati; Bacteroidota
Description: tRNA-Arg
Rfam family: tRNA
About the family: Transfer RNA (tRNA) molecules are approximately 80 nucleotides in length. Their secondary structure includes four short double-helical elements and three loops (D, anti-codon, and T loops).
Source: RNAcentral
GCGCCCGUAGCUCAGUGGACAGAGCAUCGGUCUUCUAAACCGGUGGCCGCAGGUUCGAAUCCUGCCGGGCGCGCCU